RNAcentral lists this ribosomal RNA (468 nucleotides) under uncultured bacterium. RNAcentral describes it as "partial 16S ribosomal RNA". It matches the Rfam family "Bacterial small subunit ribosomal RNA", at positions 28 to 507 of the family's 1533-position model. The record is from RNAcentral.
GACGAACGCUGGCGGCGUGCUUAACACAUGCAAGUCGAACGGAAAGGCCCUGCUUUUGUGGGGUGCUCGAGUGGCGAACGGGUGAGUAACACGUGAGUAACCUGCCCUUGACUUUGGGAUAACUUCAGGAAACUGGGGCUAAUACCGGAUAGGAGCUCCUGCUGCAUGGUGGGGGUUGGAAAGUUUCGGCGGUUGGGGAUGGACUCGCGGCUUAUCAGCUUGUUGGUGGGGUAGUGGCUUACCAAGGCUUUGACGGGUAGCCGGCCUGAGAGGGUGACCGGCCACCUUGGGACUGAGAUACGGCCCAGACUCCUACGGGAGGCAGCAGUGGGGAAUAUUGCACAAUGGGCGGAAGCCUGAUGCAGCGACGCCGCGUGCGGGAUGACGGCCUUCGGGUUGUAAACCGCUUUCGCCUGUGACGAAGCGUGAGUGACGGUAAUGGGUAAAGAAGCACCGGCUAACUACGUG